GAUGAACGCUGGCGGCGUGCCUAAUACAUGCAAGUCGAGCGAACAGAUGAGGAGCUUGCUCCUCUGACGUUAGCGGCGGACGGGUGUGUAACACGUGGAUAACCUACCUAUAAGACUGGGAUAACUUCGGGAAACCGGAGCUAAUACCGGAUAAUAUAUUGAACCGCAUGGUUCAAUAGUGAAAGACGGUUUUGCUGUCACUUAUAGCUGGAUCCGCGCCGCAUUAGCUGGUUGGUAAGGUAACGGCUUUCGAAGGCAACGAUGCGUAACCGACCUGAGAGGGGGAUAGGCGACCUGGGAGCGGAGACGCCGACAAGACGACUAAGGGAGGCAGCAGUAGCGAAUCGGACGCAAUGGGCGAAAGCUUUACGGAGCAACGGGGAGCGAGAGAUAAAGGCGCUGCGAGCGGAAAACUCUGUUAUGAGGGAAAAACAAAUGUGGCAGUAACUAUGCACGUCUUGACGGUAACUAAUCAGAAAGCCACGGCUAACUACGUG
RNAcentral lists this ribosomal RNA (497 nucleotides) under uncultured bacterium. RNAcentral's name for it is "partial 16S ribosomal RNA". It matches the Rfam family "Bacterial small subunit ribosomal RNA", at positions 28 to 507 of the family's 1533-position model. The record is from RNAcentral.